AAAAAGUUAAACUCUGGGUUUUGAUGUCUAACUUUGACUAUCCGUUUUAUAUAAAAUUUUUUUUAUAAUUCAUAUUUUUAUUGUUGUUAAAUGAUAAAACAUGAUUAAUAUUUUAUACGUGACUUGUCUUUUUAAUUUUUUUAUAAUUUUUGUAAAUAAAAUGGACGGUCAAAUAUUGGGUACGGAAAUCAGCG
Molecule: non-coding RNA, 194 nt
Organism: Oryza barthii
Lineage: Eukaryota; Viridiplantae; Streptophyta; Magnoliopsida; Poales; Poaceae
Source: Rfam